RNAcentral lists this ribosomal RNA (139 nucleotides) under uncultured eukaryote. RNAcentral's name for it is "partial 18S ribosomal RNA". It matches the Rfam family "Eukaryotic small subunit ribosomal RNA", at positions 1299 to 1458 of the family's 1831-position model. The record is from RNAcentral.
UGGUGGAGUGAUUUGUCUGGUUAAUUCCGUUAACGAACGAGACCCCCGCCUGCUAAAUAGUUGCAUUUACCAUUUGGUAGAGAGUGACUUCUUAGAGGGGCUUUUGGCGAUUAGCCAAAGGAAGUUGGGGGCAAUAACA